AAGCCAAACUUGCUCAUGUUCCGUCUGGACAUUUGGCAUACAAGUGAACCAUGGACAUCAAUCCUUUAUUAUUUUUUUUCCAAUUAAGUUUAAUAUUUUAGUUGGCCUAAUGUCAAACUCUCCAAAAAGGCAAAAAGAAACAUCCAAAAGAUUAAAUCUUGGGAUAAUGAGAAGAAAAGUUUGCUGUGAGCCCCAUUUUGAAACAGGGCUCUCGGAUAGCCAGCGGGAUGAGUUCGCGCCUAGGGAGUUUGGCAUAAGGACUCAGGUGUUGCACAGCGGCCAGCCAUACAUCUUGGUCCAGGUCCACUGUAAAGCCUUGAGAUGCAGUCGAAGCACUACAGGUCAUGGGCAAACCUCUGGAGUACCGGCAAGCAGCCACCUUAAAGACACCCUAGGGGUCUUAGGAAUGGGCAUCAGAAAAGGAGCUUCAGUCAGGCAGCGAGCCCUGGUCCCCCAGCCGCGCGCACCGGGUUUGUGGCUGGGGUCCUCUCCCAUAGGGCGAGGGCGCGGAUCGGAUCCUCCUCACUGCUCUUCAGAGAAGGAAACUACCAGCACCACGCCUUCCCUCCUGCUCGCUGAGGCGAAGAGGAGUUCUAGCCUCCCAGGUCACUGAUGCAACUCCAUACCCGGGAAAUGGGUUUGCAGAGAUCAGCGUGAAGGGCCGGGUCGCUAGGUCGGGAGGCGUGCGGAUUAACCCCAAGAAUGAGGAGGAGGAAGGAGCUGCAGAGGGUACGCUCGGGAAGUCCCCUACCCUAGAGGUCCUUUCUCAGCUCCCUAAGUCCCUAGGACUCAGCUGAUGGGACCCGCCAGCCCUGAUGUAAGCGCCCUACAGCGUCACCACGGCCCUCCAGUGGACAGUGCCGGGCACACGUGCUGCAACGACAGGCGUCUACCCCGCACCAAGUUUUCGCCCGCAGACGCCGACCCAGCGCAGGAGGGCAAGAAAGUGAUAAAAUUUACUAAGCAAACUUGUACCAGCUCGGGACGAACUGGCUGAACCCAGGAGCCAAGUUUGAGUAGUGGUACGGAUGGAGAAGAUGCCCUUUAUUCUGGUCUCCAACUCCCCCUCCGCACCCUAACCCGGGAAUCUUAGCGGAAGCUGGCCUAGCAGCGAAGGUGUUCUCAUCCUCGCCGGCUGGCAGGAGUGCGAGACGUCUGAAGUGGCUCUCUGAAGUCCGAGGGUCCUUAAGAUCUCAUCAAGAACCCUCGAAAUCGUCUGAAACAAAGCAACCAAUUCCUGGGACAGAGAAGAGCCUCAAUAAAUGUUUGUUGAGUGAAUGCAUGAGUACGGAGGGAGGAACGCACUAACAGAAUUUCGUAUAUACACUAGUAACUAGCCAGGGAUACACAUACAUAAAGCAAAUAUGCGAGGUAAGAUUACUUCGUGAAAGUCCGGCGCUUGGAAUAAAGGCUUGACACAAACAACAGUUAAAAUACUUUUACAGAGGCUAGGUGGCCCACUGACCAGAGCCAGCCAAAAGAAAUUAAGCUUCUUCUAACUGAAGGAACUUCCGCUAAAAUCCUUCAGCAAAGUCCAACCUACUUCCAUUGCUCCUUCUUCUCUUACAGGAGAAAUGUUCUCGCCUUGGUCGGUUCAGGCUCCAGAUCUCUUCAUUUUUCACAGGACUCUUUGCUAACCCUCAGGCCUGGUCGGACUCUGAUUGCUUAGUCUUAGCAGGAAUCACAAGCCUAAAAGUACUUGGCGCUAAGGCCUUUCUUGUUGCUACAGCAGAGUAACUUCGAGACUUGAGAUUUGGUAUCAAUCUGAUCAUAGUUAAAGAAUAUUAUGACAAAUGUCUCUAUGAAUGUUAUUGCUUCAUAGAGCUAGUAGAGUGAGAACUCUGAAGUCCUUACACAUUAUGUUCUCUUUGGGAACUCAAGAGAAGAAAUUCCUAUGCAGUCUUAAAAUCAGCUAUAGCUUACAUUGAUUUAUGUUUUAAUAUAUGGACAUUAUGACUUGUGGCAGUGAUUAUAUUUCCUUAACAGAAAAUGUGGUUUAAAACAAAAUGUGGUCCUCAUUUUGUAAAUACAAAGGACUUCACUGUAAGCAUAGCAUUUAUAAGACUCAUUUCGUUUUCUAUUUUAUAAGAUUUUUAUUUCUAUUCACUCUUGUGAUCCCCGUUUGCCUUUCUAUAAUAUUCCCCUUGUCUUUGUGUUCCUUUGCAAGAGGGAAUUGAACACUUGAGUUCAAAGUGUCAGUGGUUAUUUCAUUUGUUAAAACAAAAGAGCAUAUUACUCUAAUUCACAGUAAAAAUGACAGGUUCCAUGGAUAGUAAGGAGCCCUGUGCUCUGGUAAAGUAUCUACCAUUCAGGAUGCCAGGUAAGAAGCUGAGGAGCAUUUUCCUGGGGCUUUAGGAAGUUGUUUAAACUCUCCAAGCCAUAGUGUCAUCAUGCUAUAAUAAAAGGCUGUUAUUGUCAUCCCUAUGGUGGUGAUGUGACAGAAUUUCAGCUUGGAAGGCUGAGGAUCGUGAGUUCAAAGCCAGCCUCAGGAACUUAGCAAGGCCCUAAGCAACUUAGUGCGAGACCCUGUCUCAAAAUAAAACAGGCUGGCUAUGUGGCUCAUUAGGUUCGUUGAACCCAGUGGGCCCCUGAGUUCAAUGCUCUGGACAGAAAAUAAAUAAAUAAAUAAAUAAAUAAAUAAAUAAAUAAGCAAGCAAGCAAGAAAGAAACAGAACUUUCUGAAAACAAUUACCAGAGGAGGCAGUGGACACUUUUUAGGCCCACAGCACAAUAAUGAGAUGGAUUCCAACUAAUGAAGAGGAAUGAAUUUUGCUGAACAUCCUACUGUGGACACCUAUAUCAAAUUUGAGUUUCUUCUCUGAGCUUUUAACAUAAACAGUGACGUUCAGGUUGAUUUUGUACUUCUUGCCAGGUAUCUGAAAUGUAUUGAUAACUAAAAUUACUCAUUAAAAAAAAAAAAGCGCUAUCUUCAAAAGAGAGGAGCCUUGCACAGAUAAGGUCCUGCAGAGAGGAUACUCAAUACACAGUCUCUGUGGAGAGUGAUCCCAGGAUAGCCCAGGUGCUCUGUACUGCCACAUCACCACCAUAGGGAUGACAGUAACAGCCUUUUAUUAUAGCAUGAUGACACUAUGGCUUGGAGAGUUUAAACAACUUCCUAAAGCCCCAAAGUAUAUUUACUAUCAUGAGAGGCCACCUUUGAGCCCACAUAACUCAACCCUUUCUUUCUGAACUUCUUCUAAACUUUAGCCAAAUGGUGAUUUUUAUGACCCAAAUUCUAUUUCAUUAUAUCUUAGAAAUAUAUUGGGUCAGGUAAAACCAAAAUUUCUGCUUGGCCAAAAACAUUUUGGAUAAAGCCUCCAUGCAUGCCACACUAGUAAGCAUAUACCAGACUUCAGUAUUUCCCAAAGCAAAUCUCAUAAGUGUCACCAAUUUUUGUAACAGAAGCUGCUCCUUUUCUUUACCUGCUACACAUGAGAAACAAUUUUUCUCUGGUGAGUGUUUAUCUUAAAAGGUUUUGAGCAUGCUGAAUGAGAGUUUAGCCUUUUUUUAGAAGAGUCAUGGCACUGAAUUCCCUAAAACCACAUACUUGUGAAAGGGAACGAGAAACAGUUUAUUUGGUCAGGUCAAGAUACCAGGGCUUUAAAUAUUUUAGGUUUUAUCUGAGACAAAAGGCAUUUGACCACCUGUUGUUCCCCCGCCUUAGAAGUCAAAGCAAAGAUUGAUGAGGAAAAAAGUCAGAGGAGCAGAAUUCAGAAUUUAAGUGUGUGUGUGCAUGCUUGUAUGCCUGUAUGUGGUAUGUGUGGGAAUGAGCUUACCUUAGAGUAUAAAGUGUUUCUUCAUCUUCAGAAAUAUUUUUACACAGGAAUGGGAAGUGCCUAGGGAGGCUGUGAAUGAAUGAAUGACUGAAAUAUGUCCCUUCCAAUCCUAAACUUCCAGGAGAAUAUAUGCUUCUAAAAUAGGUUGCCAUUUAAAGGUAUGUACACUCAACCACUCCUCUAAAGAUGUAUUUUAAGGAGACAUAAGAAUGUGGUUACCAUAUUGCCUUAAGAGAGAGCUAGUAUGGUAGGGGUCAAGGGUUGGAAGGAGACUUAUUUUUCAAUUGUUUGCCCUGUUAUAUGCUUGAAAUUUUGUCCUAUGAGUAUGUAUAGCCUUAUUUUCAGUAAGGUAUGGGUCACUCCCCUUAUGUGAUCCCCUGCUGAGGUUCAGGGGCAACCCUGAAAGCUGGCUGUCAUGGUGUUCUAGGCCUUUUAUUUCUUCCUUUUGAGUCAAAUCCUUUGCAUUGAAUCGUGCACUGAGACCCAUCUUUUCUAGACAGUAGAAGAAACAGUUACUUUUUCAGGGACAAUAUUCUGACACAAAAUUGCUGAUGUGUUUUCCCCUUUAUCAUUAGAUGUUCCAUUAUCUCUAGUUUAGAGGGCUGCAUGAUGCUUAAAAGAAGCAGAAUUGGCACACUAGUCUAACAAGCAAAAUGCUGAACCAGCUGAAGUCAACAGUAAUCCUUUGCUCUGUCACAGAAGGGAGGUCGAAGGACAAAUCUCUACUCCCAAAACAGAGAUAUUGACAGGUAGAUAUAGGAUAACACAGCUCACAGUAGCAGAAACUUGUGGACAGAACCCCCAGAGGGACCCAGUGCAGGAGUAGGAAAACCUGAACUGUAAUUGACAAAUUGCUGGAGGCUCAAUGUGGACAAAUCUAAGAGUUAAAAACUCCAGUCAUAUGAGGAUGGCAGAGACACACUUGUGAGUUUCACCUACAGAAGUCAUCCCAAUCCUCACAGAGUAUAUUGAAAAGUAUUAUUAAUAUGCUAAAGACUUAUGGAAAAUAUAGCAUGCUAGAUUAGUUGGGCAAUGUAAGUAGGAAGAUGGAAAAUCUAAGAAAAAUUCAAGAAGAAAUAUUGGAAAUUAAAAAAAAAAAAAAAAACUAGAACAAAACCCAAAAACACCUUUGGUGGGCACUUUCGUGGCCUGGACUUGACUGAAGAAGGAAUCUAUGAAUUUGAGGUUAUCUUAAUAUUAACUACCAAAAUUGAAAAGCAAAGAGAAAAAAGACUGGGGGAAAAAGCAAAGCAGAAUAUUCAAGAACAGUGGUAUAAUUAUAAAAGUUACAGCAUAUGUGUAGUGGAAUAUAAGAAGGAGAAGAAAAAAAUGUGGAAAAAAAUACAAUUGAGAAUUUCCCUAAAUUAAUACAAGUUACCAAACCACAAAUUCAAGAAGCUCAGGAACCACAAAAUAGGAUAAAUGCCCAAAACUCUAUAACUAGCCAUAGCAUAUUCAAUCCUCCGGAAAACAAAGGUAGAAAAAGUCUUGAAUGAAGCCACAAGAUGGGGUGGGGAGGAAGCUUCCCUGGAGAGGUGCUAGAGAGAUGAUGCCUAUAGAAAAGAUAAGAAUUGUAUUCAACUUAUCCUCAGAAACCAUGCAAACAAAAUAGAAUGGAAAGAAAUAUUUAAAGUGUUGAGAAAAAAACCCCUACAAACUAUAAUAAUUCUGUAUCCUGCAAAAGUAUCCUUCAAACGUGAAAAGAAAUAAUUUCUCAAACAAAAAUUGAGUUUGUGAACAGUGGGCCUGCUCAGCAAGAAAUUUUCUGAAGUUCUUCAGAGAGAAGGAAAAUAAUGUGUUGGAAACUAAAACUUAAAUAAAGAAGAGAAGAACAACAGAGAGUAAAUGUAAAACAAUUAAUUGAUCUGAUGUAUGUUUUUUCAAAAUAAUAAUAGCAAGUGUAUUCAAAUAAAUACACAUAUGUGUAUA
Marmota monax (woodchuck) is the source of this 5705-nucleotide long non-coding RNA. RefSeq lists it as uncharacterized. The record is from RefSeq and is a predicted model, not a curated record. Lineage: Eukaryota; Metazoa; Chordata; Mammalia; Rodentia; Sciuridae. The transcript has 2 exons.